RNAcentral lists this ribosomal RNA (412 nucleotides) under Acanthamoeba lenticulata. RNAcentral's name for it is "SSU rRNA". It matches the Rfam family "Eukaryotic small subunit ribosomal RNA", at positions 752 to 1096 of the family's 1831-position model. Lineage: Eukaryota; Discosea; Longamoebia; Acanthamoebidae. The record is from RNAcentral.
UUACCGUGAAAAAAUUAGAGUGUUCAAAGCGGGCAGAUAUUUUUCCUGCCACCGAAUACAUUAGCAUGGGAUAAUGGAAUAGGACCCUGACCUCCUAUUUUCAGUUGGUUUUGUUUACAGCGAGGUUAUAUCAGGGUAAUGAUUAAUAGGGAUAGUUGGGGGCAUUAAUAUUUAAUUGUCAGAGGUGAAAUUCUUGGAUUUAUGAAAGAUUAACUUCUGCGAAAGCGUUUGCCAAGGAUGUUUUCAUUAAUCAAGAACGAAAGUUAGGGGAUCGAAGACGAUCAGAUACCGUCGUAGUCUUAACCAUAAACGAUGCCGACCAGCGAUUAGGAGACGUUGAAUACAAAACACCGCUGUUAAUCCUUUCGGGGGUUAAUAGUUGGUGAAUGACUCCCCUAGCAGCUUGUGAGAA